RNAcentral lists this non-coding RNA (21 nucleotides) under Arabidopsis thaliana (thale cress). The record is from RNAcentral. Lineage: Eukaryota; Viridiplantae; Streptophyta; Magnoliopsida; Brassicales; Brassicaceae.
ACAAUAAACCGCUGCGUACCA